UGGUUAGUCAGCACGAGCGCACCCUGUCCUUAGUUGCCAGCACGUAAUGGUGGGGACUCUAAGGAGACAAACUCUCUCUGAGAGUGGGAAGGUGGGGAUGACGUCAAGUCAGUAUGGCCCUUACGGCCAGGGCUGCACACGUGCUACAAUGCCCGGUACAAUGGGAAGCAAUGUCGCGAGGCGGAGCAAAUCCACAAAACCGGGCUCAGUUCGGAUUGGAGUCUGCAACUCGACUCCAUGAAGUUGGAAUCGCUAGUAAUGCCGUAUCAGCAAUGACGGCGUGAAUACGUUCCCGGGCCUUGUACACACCGCCCGUCACGUCAUGAAAGCCGGUUCUGCCCGAAGUAUGUGAGCUAACCCCUCGGGGAGGCAGCAUCCCAAGGUGGGGCUGGUGAUUGGGACGAAGUCGUAACAAGGUAGCCGUAGGAGAACCUGCGGCUGGAUCACCUCCUUUCU
Molecule: ribosomal RNA, 456 nt
Filed under: uncultured bacterium
Lineage: Bacteria
Description: bacterial SSU rRNA
Rfam family: Bacterial small subunit ribosomal RNA
Source: RNAcentral